UGUCACGCCAGUGGCAUUGCCGAGUAGCUAAGUGCGGAAGAGAUAACCGCUGAAAGCAUCUAAGCGGGAAACUCGUCUCAAGAUGAGUCUUGCCGGGGCCUUGAGCCCCCUGAAGGGUCGUUCGAGACCAGGACGUUGAUAGGCUGGGUGUGGAAGCGCAGUAAUGCGUUAAGCUAACCAGUACUAAUUGCCCGUGAGGCUUGACCCU
This 208-nucleotide ribosomal RNA is filed under the name Klebsiella variicola. RNAcentral describes it as "partial 23S ribosomal RNA". It matches the Rfam family "Bacterial large subunit ribosomal RNA", at positions 2722 to 2925 of the family's 2925-position model. The record is from RNAcentral. Lineage: Bacteria; Pseudomonadati; Pseudomonadota; Gammaproteobacteria; Enterobacterales; Enterobacteriaceae.